UUCACACCGCAACAGGGACACCCCUGAGUCCAAUGUCUUCUUAAGAAAUGGGCCUGUGUCUCCCCCAGACCUGCCGAUGAUAUUCUCCUCUGGGCAGGCCCAGGACAGGGUUUGGAGUGAGGCUGUGAGCACUUAACUGAUACUUUGCAAGAAUAUGAAUUUGGUAUUAGUUUUUUUCCUUGUCUGUCUUUCCUGUUGACUAACAGUUGCUCUUUUCCUUGUUUUUGUUUUCUUUCUUUUCUUUUUUUUUUUUUUUUUUUUUUUGUUUUUGUUUUUGGUGUCACUUAAGGCCCUCGGGACCAAGGAUCACGCCAUGAUUCUGGUGAGUUCGCUGGUGGUGGCAUGAAAAAGUUGUUAAAGUUAGUAUCUAGACUUCACCUAGAUGUUUUUUGAAAUUUAUAAAACAAAAAACUGAAAAAGCAGUGAUAGAGAAGGGAAGAGUGUUUUAGAUAUACUUAACAAUUCAUAAAUGAGUAUAUCAGAAAUGUUUGGUAAAUGAAUAAUUCUUCAGCAAUUUAGAGGGUCUGGAAUGAGCCUGAGGAUCUGUAACAAUUCACAGGUGAUGCCAAUUCAUCUGUGGACCAUACUCCAGAACUGGACAGCAUUUAAAAAAAAUCUUUACUUUUUUUUCAUGUAAAUUGUCUUAGGGAUCUUCAGUUGAAAGUUGAUAAGCACUGAUGAAUUUUGUGAUCUUGGGCAGUGAACACCUGAGUCCUGGUUUCUGUACAGUGUUAUAAAAUAUUCUAAUGGAUAGUUGUAAAACUAAACCCAUAUGGGUAUUCAAAUGUGAGAAUUGAAGGGCUGUUAAUUUUUUUAUAUUUUAACUUUGUUUUUCCUUUUUAAAUUUUUCAUGUUCCCCUGUGUUCAACAAGCAGAACAGGAUAAUUCAGACAACAACACCAUCUUUGUACAAGGCCUGGGUGAGAAUGUUACAAUUGAGUCUGUGGCUGAUUACUUCAAGCAGAUUGGUAUUAUUAAGGUACUGUGGAACAGAGUACAUAGUUUCUACUGGUUGGCAGGCAUUUAGAUUUGACACGUUAGUAAAAAUCAGUCAUAGUGAUUGCCAGUAGUAAAAAUGGAAGUUCUUUUUUAGUUGUUGGUGGACCACUGAGCCACAACCGCAGCUCCUAAAAAUGGAAGUCUUUUUUUUUUUUUAAUAUUUAUUAGUUGUAGUUGGACACAAUAUCUAUUUUUAUGUGAUGCUGAGGAUCGAACCCAGGGCCUCGCACGUGCUAGGCGAGCGCUCUACCGCUGAGCCACAAUCCCAGCCCCAAAAAUGGAAGUCUUAAUGGCCGUUGCCAGCUUAGUUUGGUGAGCAAAGAACAGUAGUUGUUGCCAUUUUUUAGGAAAUUGCACAAAAAGAAUGAGUGAUAAGGAAGGUGCCCCAAGACAGUGUAGACUGUGGUUUUAAUUUAGAUUGAAUGUGAGAUACUAAGAAGUAACUGGGAAGGAAAGAGCUGUAGUUUGAGAAUGAUAAAAGCUUCAGUUCUGGAAGAGGAAGAUGGAAGGUGUGUUAGUCCUUGAAUCAAGUGUCUUAAGAUGCUGGGGGUAGAACCCAGGUCCUCGUGUCCUAGGCAACUAUUCUAUCACAGAGCUAUAUGCCUCACUUAAAUCAUUGCCAUGCCAGAAGCUGUCUGGAUCCAGUGGUUCUGCUUUGAGCCAAACUCAAAAUUGAAAAUAUUUGGAAAAAUAGAUGUGUCUGAGUUGAACUUGUCCAUACGUUUUUUCUUAUCAGUCGUAAACAAGAAGUAAAACAAUUACAUAGCAUUUACAUUUAGGUAUUAAUAAAUAAUCGAAGAUUUUUAUUUGUGUGUGGUGCUUGGGAUCAAACUCUUGGGCUUCUGCAUGCUAAGUAAGUGGUAUACUGCUGAGCUACAGGCCUAGAUCCUAGGAAUUUAGGGUCUAACUCAGUGUAGUGUCUAGGAAAUAAAGUAUAUACAGGAGCCAGGAGUGGUGGCGCAUACCUGUAAUCCCAGCAGCUCAGGAGGCUGAGACAGUAGAAUCGCGAGUUCAAAGCCAGCCUCAGCAAAAGCGAGGUGCUNCUCUCAGCAACUUUCUCCUAAU
This 2064-nucleotide long non-coding RNA is filed under the name Marmota monax (woodchuck). The record is from RNAcentral. Lineage: Eukaryota; Metazoa; Chordata; Mammalia; Rodentia; Sciuridae.